Molecule: ribosomal RNA, 235 nt
Filed under: uncultured bacterium
Lineage: Bacteria
Description: partial 16S ribosomal RNA
Rfam family: Bacterial small subunit ribosomal RNA
Source: RNAcentral
CGGACGGGUGAGUAACGCGUGGAUAACCUGCCUCACACUGGGGGAUAACAGUUAGAAAUGGCUGCUAAUACCGCAUAAGCGCACAGUACCGCAUGGUACGGUGUGAAAAACCCAGGUGGUGUGAGAUGGGUCCGCGUCUGAUUAGCCAGUUGGCGGGGUAACGGCCCACCAAAGCGACGAUCAGUAGCCGACCUGAGAGGGUGACCGGCCACAUUGGGACUGAGACACGGCCCAA